RNAcentral lists this ribosomal RNA (1434 nucleotides) under uncultured organism. RNAcentral's name for it is "SSU rRNA". It matches the Rfam family "Bacterial small subunit ribosomal RNA". The record is from RNAcentral.
UAACACAUGCAAGUCGAGGGGCAGCAUUUCAGUUUGCUUGCAAACUGGAGAUGGCGACCGGCGCACGGGUGAGUAACACGUAUCCAACCUGCCGAUAACUCGGGGAUAGCCUUUCGAAAGAAAGAUUAAUACCCGAUGGCAUAAUUAGACCGCAUGGUCUUAUUAUUAAAGAAUUUCGGUUAUCGAUGGGGAUGCGUUCCAUUAGGCAGUUGGUGAGGUAACGGCUCACCAAACCUUCGAUGGAUAGGGGUUCUGAGAGGAAGGUCCCCCACAUUGGAACUGAGACACGGUCCAAACUCCUACGGGAGGCAGCAGUGAGGAAUAUUGGUCAAUGGGCGCAGGCCUGAACCAGCCAAGUAGCGUGAAGGAUGACUGCCCUAUGGGUUGUAAACUUCUUUUAUAUGGGAAUAAAGUUUUCCACGUGUGGAACUUUGUAUGUACCAUAUGAAUAAGGAUCGGCUAACUCCGUGCCAGCAGCCGCGGUAAUACGGAGGAUCCGAGCGUUAUCCGGAUUUAUUGGGUUUAAAGGGAGCGUAGGUGGACAGUUAAGUCAGUUGUGAAAGUUUGCGGCUCAACCGUAAAAUUGCAGUUGAUACUGGCUGUCUUGAGUACAGUAGAGGUGGGCGGAAUUCGUGGUGUAGCGGUGAAAUGCUUAGAUAUCACGAAGAACUCCGAUUGCGAAGGCAGCUCACUGGACUGCAACUGACACUGAUGCUCGAAAGUGUGGGUAUCAAACAGGAUUAGAUACCCUGGUAGUCCACACAGUAAACGAUGAAUACUCGCUGUUUGCGAUAUACAGUAAGCGGCCAAGCGAAAGCAUUAAGUAUUCCACCUGGGGAGUACGCCGGCAACGGUGAAACUCAAAGGAAUUGACGGGGGCCCGCACAAGCGGAGGAACAUGUGGUUUAAUUCGAUGAUACGCGAGGAACCUUACCCGGGCUUAAAUUGCAUUUGAAUAUAUUGGAAACAGUAUAGCCGUAAGGCAAAUGUGAAGGUGCUGCAUGGUUGUCGUCAGCUCGUGCCGUGAGGUGUCGGCUUAAGUGCCAUAACGAGCGCAACCCUUAUCUUUAGUUACUAACAGGUCAUGCUGAGGACUCUAGAGAGACUGCCGUCGUAAGAUGUGAGGAAGGUGGGGAUGACGUCAAAUCAGCACGGCCCUUACGUCCGGGGCUACACACGUGUUACAAUGGGGGGUACAGAAGGCAGCUACCUGGUGACAGGAUGCUAAUCCCAAAAGCCUCUCUCAGUUCGGAUCGAAGUCUGCAACCCGACUUCGUGAAGCUGGAUUCGCUAGUAAUCGCGCAUCAGCCAUGGCGCGGUGAAUACGUUCCCGGGCCUUGUACACACCGCCCGUCAAGCCAUGAAAGCCGGGGGUACCUGAAGUACGUAACCGCAAGGAGCGUCCUAGGGUAAAACUGGUAAUUGGGGCUAAGA